This 406-nucleotide ribosomal RNA is filed under the name uncultured bacterium. Its description in RNAcentral is "partial 16S ribosomal RNA". It matches the Rfam family "Bacterial small subunit ribosomal RNA", at positions 29 to 526 of the family's 1533-position model. The record is from RNAcentral.
AUUGAACGCUGGCGGCAGGCCUAACACAUGCAAGUCGAACGGGUGGCGGACGGGUGGGCAAGGGAUGGGCAAGUGCGUGAUGGAGGGGGAUAACUACGGGAAACGGUAGCUACAACCGCAUACCAUCAGAUGUGCCGAGGUGGGUUUAGCUAGUCGGUGGGGUAACGGCUCACCAAGGCGACGAUCCCUAGCUGGUCUGAGAGGAUGACCAGCCACACUGGAACUGAGACACGGUCCAGACUCCUACGGGAGGCAGCAGUGGGGAAUAUUGCACAAUGGGCGCAAGCCUGAUCCAGCCAUGCCGCGUGUGUGAAGAAGGCCUUCGGGUUGUAAAGUACUUUCAGCAGGGAGGCGUUACCCACAGAAGAAGCACCGGCUAACUCCGUGCCAGCAGCCGCGGUAAUUC